CUACGGGGUGCAGCAGUGGGGAAUAUUGCACAAUGGGCGCAAGCCUGAUGCAGCCAUGCCGCGUGUAUGAAGAAGGCCUUCGGGUUGUAAAGUACUUUCAGCGGGGAGGAAGGGAGUAAAGUUAAUACCUUUGCUCAUUGACGUUACCCGCAGAAGAAGCACCGGCUAACUCCGUGCCAGCAGCCGCGGUGAAUACGGAGGGUGCAAGCGUUAAUCGGAAUUACUGGGCGUAAAGCGCACGCAGGCGGUUUGUUAAGUCAGAUGUGAAAUCCCCGGGCUCAACCUGGGAACUGCAUCUGAUACUGGCAAGCUUGAGUCUCGUAGAGGGGGGUAGAAUUCCAGGUGUAGCGGUGAAAUGCGUAGAGAUCUGGAGGAAUACCGGUGGCGAAGGCGGCCCCCUGGACGAAGACUGACGCUCAGGUGCGAAAGCGUGGGGAGCAAACAGGAUUAGAUACCCGUGUAGUC
This 465-nucleotide ribosomal RNA is filed under the name uncultured bacterium. RNAcentral's name for it is "partial 16S ribosomal RNA". It matches the Rfam family "Bacterial small subunit ribosomal RNA", at positions 339 to 795 of the family's 1533-position model. The record is from RNAcentral.